GGACGGGUGAGUAAUGUCUGGGAAACUGCCUGAUGGAGGGGGAGUAACUACUGGAAACGGUAGCUAAUACCGCAUAACGUCGCAAGACCAAAGAGGGGGACCUUCGGGCCUCUUGCCAUCAGAUGUGCCCAGAUGGGAUUAGCUAGUAGGUGGGGUAACGGCUCACCUAGGCGACAAUCCCUAGCUGGUCUGAGAGGAUGACCAGCCACACUGGAACUGAGACACGGUCCAGACUCCUACGGGAGGCAGCAUG
RNAcentral lists this ribosomal RNA (253 nucleotides) under uncultured bacterium. RNAcentral's name for it is "partial 16S ribosomal RNA". It matches the Rfam family "Bacterial small subunit ribosomal RNA", at positions 100 to 353 of the family's 1533-position model. The record is from RNAcentral.